GACGAACGCUGGCGGCGUGCUUAGCACAUGCAAGUCGAACGGUGAAGCGCCUUCCUUUUUGGUGGGUGUGGAUGAGUGGCGAACGGGUGAGUAACACGUGAGUAACCUGCCCCCUUCUUCUGGAUAACCGCAUGAAAGUGUGGCUAAUACGGGAUAUUCUGGGUCUGUCGCAUGAUGGGUCUGGGAAAGAUAUUGUUUCGGUGGGGGAUGGGCUCGCGGCCUAUCAGCUUGUUGGUGGGGUGAUGGCCUACCAAGGCGGUGACGGGUAGCCGGCCUGGGAGGGUGGACGGUCACACUGGGACUGAGACACGGCCAAGACUCCUACGGGAGGCAGCAGUGAGGAAUAUUGCACAAUGGGGGGAAGCCUGAUGCAGCGACGCCGCGUGAGGGAUGGAGGCCUUCGGGUUGUGAACCUCUUUCGCCAGUGAAGCAGGCCUGCCUCGUUUGUGGGUGGGUUGACGGUAGCUGGAUAAGAAGCGCCGGCUAACUACGUG
This 494-nucleotide ribosomal RNA is filed under the name uncultured bacterium. RNAcentral's name for it is "partial 16S ribosomal RNA". It matches the Rfam family "Bacterial small subunit ribosomal RNA", at positions 28 to 507 of the family's 1533-position model. The record is from RNAcentral.